GACGAACGCGGCGGCGUGCGUAAUACAUGCAAGUAGAACGCUGAAGAGAGGAGCUUGCUCUUCUUGGAUGAGUUGCGAACGGGUGAGUAACGCGUAGGUAACCUGCCUUGUAGCGGGGGAUAACUAUUGGAAACGAUAGCUAAUACCGCAUAACAAUGGAUGACACAUGUCAUUUAUUUGAAAGGGGCAAUUGCUCCACUACAAGAUGGACCUGCGUUGUAUUAGCUAGUAGGUGAGGUAACGGCUCACCUAGGCGACGAUACAUAGCCGACCUGAGAGGGUGAUCGGCCACACUGGGACUGAGACACGGCCCAGACUCCUACGGGAGGCAGCAGUAGGGGAUCUUCGGCAAUGGGGGCAACCCUGACCGAGCAACGCCGCGUGAGUGAAGAAGGUUUUCGGAUCGUAAAGCUCUGUUGUAAGUCAAGAACGAGUGUGAGAGUGGAAAGUUCACACUGUGGCGGUAGCUUACCAGAAAGGGACGGCUAACUACGUGCCAGCAGCCGCGGUAAUACGUAGGUCCCGAGCGUUGUCCGGAUUUAUUGGGCGUAAAGCGAGCGCAGGCGGUUUGAUAAGUCUGAAGUUAAAGGCUGUGGCUCAACCAUAGUUCGCUUUGGAAACUGUCAAACUUGAGUGCAGAAGGGGAGAGUGGAAUUCCAUGUGUAGCGGUGAAAUGCGUAGAUAUAUGGAGGAACACCGGUGGCGAAAGCGGCUCUCUGGUCUGUAACUGACGCUGAGGCUCGAAAGCGUGGGGAGCGAACAGG
This 764-nucleotide ribosomal RNA is filed under the name uncultured Streptococcus sp. Its description in RNAcentral is "bacterial SSU rRNA". It matches the Rfam family "Bacterial small subunit ribosomal RNA", at positions 28 to 776 of the family's 1533-position model. The record is from RNAcentral. Lineage: Bacteria; Bacillati; Bacillota; Bacilli; Lactobacillales; Streptococcaceae.